RNAcentral lists this long non-coding RNA (525 nucleotides) under Hordeum vulgare. RNAcentral describes it as "long non-coding RNA (HVUL_LNC019318)". Lineage: Eukaryota; Viridiplantae; Streptophyta; Magnoliopsida; Poales; Poaceae. The record is from RNAcentral.
UUUGUUUUAAGGAGAGGUAAAGGUAACGUAAAGGGAAUCGAAUUAUAGAGUGUCACAACUCCGUAUUGCGAAAUUCCAAUAUUGUUUGGUUCGACUGUGUAAUGAAAAUAGGUACAUUGCAGCAAAUUGUGUGGUGGCGAGGGUAAAGUUGGGGCGGCAACAAACAUGGAUGACGGUGAGGGACAACAGCGAUGGAUACAAUGCGAUGGGGCUGCGACCAAGGAGGAGGAGGAGGAGGAGAAGGCGCAUGUCCGUGAGUUUACUCAACGACCAUCGGAGAUAGGCACAUGCGGCUCGAGCACGGCGAGGUUGGCUUAUUUUGGGAACGGCGGGAGAAGAGAGGAUACCUAGAUGAGAUGUAGGUCGUGCCCGGAGGAUCGCAUGGCGCGGAUGUUAGGGCAUAUUUAUCAAUUAGUUGUUUUAAUGAUUGACGACGGUGCUUUUGCGGACUAAUCGUAUGCAUUGAUCAUUUCAGAUAAUCUAUCAUAUGGCACAAGAUGAUUUGUGUCCCUCGGAGUUUUAAAA